Molecule: long non-coding RNA, 321 nt
Organism: Neogale vison (American mink)
Lineage: Eukaryota; Metazoa; Chordata; Mammalia; Carnivora; Mustelidae
Exons: 3
Source: RefSeq, a predicted model, not a curated record
AGGUGACCCUGAAGUAGUCUAAAGCUCAUGGAACCAGAUGGUAGUGGCUAAGCCAUUCCUGUUGUGCCUUGGAGCUAGGAUCUGGAGUUUCUGGCUUGGUGAUCAGCAGGGAAGAGUCCUUCCUGCGCAAAGAUUGGGUGGAUACCCUGUUUCCCUCUGCUGACCAGUCCAUCCUGGGAUCCUGUGGUGAUCUUCAAGAAGUCCAGGCAGAUGAAUGACCUUUGCUGAACAUCAGGAAGUGAAGGUGCAGCGGCCAGCGAGGCAGAGGACCUGCCCCCAGUGCCCGGCAUGCAUUCUGCUGUCAGCAUCCGGAGAGCUUCU